Molecule: transfer RNA, 76 nt
Filed under: Mycobacteroides chelonae
Lineage: Bacteria; Bacillati; Actinomycetota; Actinomycetes; Mycobacteriales; Mycobacteriaceae
Description: (Mycobacterium chelonae corrig. Bergey et al. 1923 (Approved Lists 1980) emend. Kim et al. 2017) tRNA-Lys
Rfam family: tRNA
About the family: Transfer RNA (tRNA) molecules are approximately 80 nucleotides in length. Their secondary structure includes four short double-helical elements and three loops (D, anti-codon, and T loops). Further hydrogen bonds mediate the characteristic L-shaped molecular structure. tRNAs have two regions of fundamental functional importance: the anti-codon, which is responsible for specific mRNA codon recognition, and the 3' end, to which the tRNAs corresponding amino acid is attached (by aminoacyl-tRNA synthetases). tRNAs cope with the degeneracy of the genetic code in two manners: having more than one tRNA (with a specific anti-codon) for a particular amino acid; and 'wobble' base-pairing, i.e. permitting non-standard base-pairing at the 3rd anti-codon position.
Source: RNAcentral
GUGGGUGUUGGUGAAACGGUUAUCACCCCGGGCUUUUACCCCGAGAGUUGAGGGUUCGAAUCCCUUGCGCCCUACG